This 497-nucleotide ribosomal RNA is filed under the name uncultured bacterium. RNAcentral describes it as "partial 16S ribosomal RNA". It matches the Rfam family "Bacterial small subunit ribosomal RNA", at positions 28 to 507 of the family's 1533-position model. The record is from RNAcentral.
GAUGAACGCUGGCGGCGUGCCUAAUACAUGCAAGUCGAGCGAACAGACGAGGAGCUUUCUCCUCUGACGUUAGCGGCGGACGGGUGAGUAACACGUGGAUAACCUACCUAUAAGACUGGGAUAACUUCGGGAAACCGGAGCUAAUACCGCAUAAUAUAUUGAACCGCAUGGUUCAAUAGUGAAAGACGGUUUUGCUGUCACUUAUAGAUGGAUCCGCGCCGCAUUAGCUAGUUGGUAAGGUAACGGCUUACCAAGGCAACGAUGCGUAGCCGACCUGAGAGGGUGAUCGGCCACACUGGAACUGAGACACGGUCCAGACUCCUACGGGAGGCAGCAGUAGGGAAUCUUCCGCAAUGGGCGAAAGCCUGACGGAGCAACGCCGCGUGAGUGAUGAAGGUCUUCGGAUCGUAAAACUCUGUUAUUAGGGAAGAACAAAUGUGUAAGUAACUAUGCACGUCUUGACGGUACCUAAUCAGAAAGCCACGGCUAACUACGUG